Passer domesticus (house sparrow) is the source of this 578-nucleotide long non-coding RNA. RefSeq lists it as uncharacterized. The record is from RefSeq and is a predicted model, not a curated record. Lineage: Eukaryota; Metazoa; Chordata; Aves; Passeriformes; Passeridae. The transcript is spliced from 3 exons.
GACAGACCUUUCCUUCCAGCCAGGACAAGAGCAGGGCCCAACAGGAAAAUCAGAGAAAGAAAGAAAGAAAGAGGGCAGAGGAAUGAGAUUAAAAGAGCAGCAACUAGGGACAUGGCUGCUAGAGGAAGUGUGAAGAACACAGGGAAGCAAACUGGAGCUCCACCGUCAGCGGAGGCUGAGAGCUUGGCAGAGCAGGAUGGCACUAAGAGACACCGCCCCCCAAGGAGAGCACAGCUCUGCAGGGCAGAGUUCUCUGUUCCAGCUCAACUUCCCAGCCCCGUCCCAUGGGAAGUGGAAUGGAAUCUGCCUCGGCAAGCUUUGCCAGCCACUCCCACCCGAGUCCCAGGGCUCGGCGGCGAUUUAUGGCAGAUUCCCCUUUUGCCAAAGAUGGCUCAGCUCUGUUGAAAGAAGGGAAAAAACAAGCCGUCUCCGAAAAGAUAGGAUCUUUUCUGAACAUGCUACUUGUCAUCAGGAAACACUUAUGACUGAGAUCUGGGCAGCAGGGUAACUUGUGCAGUCCUGUGCCCAAAUCACUGAACUGGUUAUUAGUGUGGCACUGCUGUGGCUAUCAGUGUCAA